Molecule: non-coding RNA, 102 nt
Organism: Paramuricea clavata
Lineage: Eukaryota; Metazoa; Cnidaria; Anthozoa; Malacalcyonacea; Plexauridae
Source: the annotation of a GenBank genome assembly
UAUCUAAUAAUAAUCAUGAUUUUUCUGUGUUGGUGUAGUGUACUCAGGUGAACAUAUUCACCUGAGUACAUUACACCAACACAGAAAAAUCAUGAUUAUUAU